This 253-nucleotide ribosomal RNA is filed under the name uncultured bacterium. RNAcentral's name for it is "partial 16S ribosomal RNA". It matches the Rfam family "Bacterial small subunit ribosomal RNA", at positions 524 to 776 of the family's 1533-position model. The record is from RNAcentral.
UACGGGGGGGGCAAGCGUUGUUCGGAAUUACUGGGCGUAAAGGGCUCGUAGGCGGCCAACUAAGUCGGACGUGAAAUCCCUCAGCUUAACUGGGGAACUGCGUCCGAUACUGGAUGGCUUGGAUUCGGGAGAGGGAUGCGGAAUUCCAGGUGUAGCGGUGAAAUGCGUAGAUAUUGGGAGGAACACCAGUGGCGAAGGCGGCUCACUGGACCGGAACUGACGCUGAGGCGCGAAAGCGUGGGGAGCAAACGGG